This 203-nucleotide long non-coding RNA is filed under the name Linum usitatissimum (flax). Its description in RNAcentral is "long non-coding RNA (LUSI_LNC004507)". The record is from RNAcentral. Lineage: Eukaryota; Viridiplantae; Streptophyta; Magnoliopsida; Malpighiales; Linaceae.
UUUUCUAUAUGUGGAACCCGCAAUUCACGUCCAACAUUCAUAUACGUUGACCGACAUAUCGUCUCCCCACCUUCCUUCUCCCUACUUUCACUCAUAUUUUCUUUUUCUUCUCCUUCUUCUUUCUCAAUAACACCCCUUAAAAAGCCAAAAAAACAAUUAGUUCCAAAACAAAAAUAAAAGGAGAGAUCAAAUCGUAACUACGC